Molecule: ribosomal RNA, 200 nt
Filed under: uncultured prokaryote
Description: partial 16S ribosomal RNA
Rfam family: Bacterial small subunit ribosomal RNA
Source: RNAcentral
UGUCAAAUCAUCAUGCCCUUUAUGCCUUGGGCAACACACGUGCUACAAUGGCUGCAACAAAGUGACGCGAUCGGGUGACCGUGAGCAAAUCACAAAAAAGCAGUCUCAGUUCGGAUUGUAGUCUGCAACUCGACUAUAUGAAGCCGGAAUCGCUAGUAAUCGCAAAUCAGCAUGUUGCGGUGAAUACGUUCCCGGGCCUU